UGUACGGGUACGGGGAUUAGGGUUCGAUUCCGGAGAGGGAGCCUGAGAAACGGCUACCACAUCCAAGGAAGGCAGCAGGCGCGCAAAUUACCCAAUCCCGACACGGGGAGGUAGUGACAAUAAAUAACAAUACGGGGCUCUUUCGGGUCUCGUAAUUGGAAUGAGUACAAUUUAAAUCCCUUAACGAGGAACAAUUGGAGGGCAAGUCUGGUGCCAGCAGCCGCGGUAAUUCCAGCUCCAAUAGCGUAUAUUAAAGUUGUUGCAGUUAAAAAGCUCGUAGUUGAAUUUCGGGAUUGACACAUCGGUCGUGCCUUAAGGGGUAUGAACUGGUGUAGUCAAUUUCUCACCUUCUGGAGAACCACGAUGCCCUUAAUUGGGUGUCGCGGGGAACCAGGACCUUUACUUUGAAAAAAUUAGAGUGUUUAAAGCAGGCAUUUUGCUUGAAUACAUUAGCAUGGAAUAAUAAAAUAGGACGGCAUGAUUCUAUUUUGUUGGUUUCUAGGAUCACCGUAAUGAUUAAUAGGGAUAGUUGGGGGCAUUAGUAUUCAAUUGUCAGAGGUGAAAUUCUUGGAUUUAUUGAAGACUAACUACUGCGAAAGCAUUUGCCAAGGAUGUUUUCAUUAAUCAAGAACGAAAGUUAGGGGAUCGAAGACGAUCAGAUACCGUCGUAGUCUUAACCAUAAACUAUGCCGACUAGGAAUCAGACGAUGUUAAUUUUUUAAUGACUCGUUUGGCACCUUACGGGAAACCAANNUUUUNGGNUUCA
This 766-nucleotide ribosomal RNA is filed under the name Entrophospora claroidea. Its description in RNAcentral is "SSU rRNA". It matches the Rfam family "Eukaryotic small subunit ribosomal RNA", at positions 352 to 1115 of the family's 1831-position model. The record is from RNAcentral. Lineage: Eukaryota; Fungi; Glomeromycota; Glomeromycetes; Entrophosporales; Entrophosporaceae.